GAGGUCACAAGUUCAAGUCUUGUUAGGCCCACCAGGUAAAAUUUAAUUUAAGAAUUAAAAAUUUAGUUCUUAAAUUAGACUUUAGUCUAAACGUUAUUUAAAAUAUCAUUGUUAAAAGUCACAAUCAAGUUUUAAUAAAAUAAAACAAUUUUACAGGACUUGUUGAAGCUUUAAAUAUAGACUAAUUUUAGCAAGUAAUUAAUCACCAAAUCUGUUAUCCCAAUAACUACAAUAGAUUAAUUAUUAAAUUUAACAUCACAAGCUAUUGAGCUUUUAAAACUUACUUAAUAGUAGUUAAUGCUUUCCGUCUUAUAAAUCUAUAUUUAAAUAUUGUAAAACAAACAUAAUAUUUAAGCUUUUAAAUUUAAUAAUUUAUUAUCUUAUAUAUCUGUUUUAUCUUUAACAAGGAAGUGAUGCAAAUUAGAAUAAUAAUCUAAACAAAAAUAUAAAAACUUCUCAAUUCCGAAAUACCAAAUUUAGUAUUUAAGUUUGUCUUUAAAGCAAAUGAACACAAUAUUUUAUUGUGUUGUAUUUUAGGCGGUUGGGGGAGUGCUUGCACUUCCCAUCGGAACAAGAGCUUUGCUCUUGCGAGAAGACUAAAAAAGGUAAGCUACUAAGAGCAAAUGGUGGAUGCCUUGGCUAGUAGAGGCGAUGAAAGACGUGCCAGGCUGCGAUAAGUCUCGGGGAGCCGUCAAGGGGCUUUGAUCCGGGAAUUUCUGAAUGGGGCAACCCAGUAUAUAGUGAUAUAUACUACCGCAAUGCGGAGCUAACG
This 772-nucleotide unclassified non-coding RNA is filed under the name Campylobacter fetus. Its description in RNAcentral is "partial 16S-23S ribosomal RNA intergenic spacer". The stretch from base 604 to 772 matches the Rfam family "Bacterial large subunit ribosomal RNA", at positions 1 to 185 of the family's 2925-position model. The record is from RNAcentral. Lineage: Bacteria; Pseudomonadati; Campylobacterota; Epsilonproteobacteria; Campylobacterales; Campylobacteraceae.